RNAcentral lists this non-coding RNA (27 nucleotides) under Mus musculus (house mouse). The record is from RNAcentral. Lineage: Eukaryota; Metazoa; Chordata; Mammalia; Rodentia; Muridae.
UGGCACUCCGAGGGUCCGUUUCUCUCU